This 253-nucleotide ribosomal RNA is filed under the name uncultured bacterium. Its description in RNAcentral is "partial 16S ribosomal RNA". It matches the Rfam family "Bacterial small subunit ribosomal RNA", at positions 524 to 776 of the family's 1533-position model. The record is from RNAcentral.
UACAGAGGUCUCAACCGUUGUUCGGAUUCAUUGGGCGUAAAGGGUGCGUAGGCGGUCGUGCAAGUCGGAUGUGAAAUCUCAGGGCUCAACCCUGAAACUGCAUUCGAUACUGCGUGGCUAGAGUGCUGGAGAGGAGACUGGAAUUUACGGUAUAGCAGUGAAAUGCGUAGAUAUCGUAAGGAAGACCAGUGGCGAAGGCGAGUCUCUGGACAGCAACUGACGCUGAGGCACGAAGGCCAGGGGAGCAAACGGG